UACGAAGGGGGCUAGCGUUGCUCGGAAUCACUGGGCGUAAAGCGCACGUAGGCGGAUUUCUAAGUCAGGGGUGAAAUCCUGGAGCUCAACUCCAGAACUGCCUUUGAUACUGGGAAUCUCGAGUCCGGGAGAGGUGAGUGGAACUGCGAGUGUAGAGGUGAAAUUCGUAGAUAUUCGCAAGAACACCAGUGGCGAAGGCGGCUCACUGGCCCGAUACUGACGCUGAGGUGCGAAAGCGUGGGGAGCAAACAGG
RNAcentral lists this ribosomal RNA (253 nucleotides) under uncultured bacterium. RNAcentral's name for it is "partial 16S ribosomal RNA". It matches the Rfam family "Bacterial small subunit ribosomal RNA", at positions 524 to 776 of the family's 1533-position model. The record is from RNAcentral.